This is an RNA transcript of Triticum dicoccoides, 1920 nucleotides long. RefSeq lists it as uncharacterized. Lineage: Eukaryota; Viridiplantae; Streptophyta; Magnoliopsida; Poales; Poaceae. The record is from RefSeq and is a predicted model, not a curated record. The transcript is spliced from 6 exons.
CUGCUGGCCCCGCUCGUCGGUAGAACUAGCUGCUCGGCCGGUGCAUGUUUACCUGGCUUAUGCACCAGCGUCUCUUCUAUUGCGAUGACAGGUGGGCCGGUCCUGCUGCUGGUCCCACUCGUCAGCUGCACGGACUGCGUCAUGUUGGUUGGUUGUGCGGACUGCGCCGGGUUGGCUGGGGCAUGUUCGCGUGGACCCCAGGCUGACCGAUGCAUCGUGUGCGCGUCCUGCGUGCCUCACCUCCGUCUGCGGUUGGAGAGAGGAGAUGGACUGGCAAAAUAUCUCGCGAGCCCACUUCCCGCAUCUCCAUCGACCUAGCCGCCUCCACGCUCGUGAUCCUCCCGUGUCAAUCGCGCCCAAACCUCCUCAUCUCGGAUCCCGCGGGACCGAGGUGCGGGCAUGGAGGCGAGCUUCCCUGGCGGCCAUGGCGACCUGCAGGCAAAGGGUGACGGCGGCGGCGGCGCUCGAUUAGAUCUGCGGGAGAGAGAGGAUGAGAGGGAGAGAUAAGGAAGAAGAUGAGAGGGAGAGAAAGAGAGAGUAAAGGGGAGAGGGAGGGCUUCUACAUCACCGCUCUCUAGAUGCACGCCAUCCACCCGCGCACGCUCGCCGCCAACCUCGUUGGUUUUGCCAGGUUCGGCUGCCUCAAGGACCUCCCCGAGAUCCUCUAUUGUUUCCUCCACGGCCCCCGUGAUGAGCGCAAGGACUGGGACGACGUUGCCGCGGCGGCGGCGGGGUCAAGAGCGGCAAGCGGCGCUGCGUCGGCGGCCUUGCCGCCGCCGCGGCUGAGGCCGCCAAGGCCCGGCGCGAGAAGGAGGCGGAGCACGCGCAGGCCGUGCUCGGGCGCUACGACUCUGACGAGGCCUUCCGCAACCUCUACAACGGCGUCGCUGACCUCUUCGCCGGGCUGCUCAAGUCGGACCAGGAGCACCUGCACGCGGGCGGCACGGCCAAGAUCGUGUUCGCCGCCAAGUGGUGGCCGUCGUUGCGCUUGUCGUACGACCGCGCGACGCUGCUCUGCGAGGCCAUCGCGUGCCGGGUAUUCCCGCGCGACUUGAGCCCCGAGUACCUCGCUAUCCCCGACAAGCACUAUGCCUACCGCGUCCGCAACCGGCUCCGCUGCGAGGUGCAGGUAACGCUCCGCAAGGUGCUCGAGCUCCCCGAGGUCUACAUGAGCGCCUGCAAGUGGGACGAGCUUCCCUGCGCGCGCGCUUGGCGACCACAGCCAUGGGCCAGUACAAGAGGCGUCCUGGCUGUACUUCUUUCUUCUGGUCCCUGGACAUUGUCAUAAUGGUCACCUUAUCGCAGUGUAUUAUUUUUGGAUCUCAUAUUCCUCAAGGCGCUCCAUCUUCGGAUUCGAUGUCGGACGAUCUGAGAAAUAAGAGGAGGAAUAAUCCAGCAGAAGAAUUCGGUGACGAAGAACAAGAAAAGAAUACCUUUAUCCUGAUAGGCAUGGAAACACCGGUUCGCAUUGAGUGCAUCAUCGCUAAUCAGCUACUAUUAGAGAGCAAGGGACAUAUAAGAAAUCUCCAGGCAGCUUCACUUAGAUGCAUCAUCUUCUGCUAGGAGUCAGCUUGAAGAACGGCCUUCUCAAGUUAAUUCUUGGGUCAGUGUUUCGGCUUUUCUCCAUUGGUUCAUAAAAACCAUAUGGAGACUGCAACUGACAUGCUGUAUGGCGAAUAACCAAAUUUGUGGACAAAGACAAAGAGUUCAUCGCAAGGGGUGGUGUUUAGGAUAUAUACACAAAAGAGGAAACUUUUUUUGUACAAAACCAAAUUAUAUGAUGUAAUUGACCACUAUUUCUAAGAAAUGUUCAUCAUGUAUUCAGUACAUUUUAUUGUCACUUUUUUUGAAGGGUAGCUUUAUUCAUCAAACAUCACAAAGUGUGUGAUAGAGUUCAUCAAACCAGGCUUUAUUGUGUCA